Long non-coding RNA from Neofelis nebulosa (Clouded leopard), 690 nucleotides. RefSeq lists it as uncharacterized. The transcript has 4 exons. The record is from RefSeq and is a predicted model, not a curated record. NCBI's taxonomy places the organism in Eukaryota, Metazoa, Chordata, Mammalia, Carnivora, Felidae.
ACUGCCAAAUUUCAACUGGCACUGAGACUUCUGAGCUCCUUCUACCAACAUUCUGUCCCACCAAAGAGUGAACACUAUAGGAACAUUGAGCAACACGGAGAGGUUCAGCAAGGAGCUGGAGCCAGGAGGUGGCAGAAUCGGGAUUUGAAUUGAGCUGGACUGACUUCGGAGAACACCUCCUUAGCCUCGAAAUCAUAUAGUCUCCAGUUGGCUGCUGGUGACCUCAGUAACAGUGCCUUUAGAAGUAUGGUGGGGACAAUACCCAGAAACUGAGCAUUGAAUGGGAGCUGGUUAAUUGAGAGAUUGAGAAGAGUUGAAAGCAUUUCCACAGAGAAUCACACUGACAAAGUCCAACGAUCUGGCUGGCGGUCAGUUCAAGAUUAAGAUCUCUGGUGAGUGCCUGAAGGAGUCUACUAGACAGCAAAGACCAAGCCUUCUGAGUUUUACGCCUCUGCUCCCACCCGAGUGAACAUAGUUCCUGGCACAUAGAAGGACAUUAUGAAUGAGAGAAGAAAUGAAGGAUUGAAGGGCUCAACAUAGGAUCAAGGACAAAUUCCCACAGCAUACUACUAAAUCCUAGUUUUUAGGUUUAUUUGAACUUUUAGGCAAAAGUCAGCACAGAACUUUCAUUGUGGUUAAGUCAAGGGCUCAUUCAUUUUGUUCAUUUAUCACGUCAUCUAUUUUUUUCUA